GUUCGUAGGUGACCUGCGGAGGAUCAUUAUUGUUUCGGGGAAAACUAAAACCCCAUUAGGUGUCAAGCUAGUGGAGGGAGCUUGGCAUCGAGGGCCCUGAAAAAAGAGGGAUUUCUUCAACCUUGCCUUUUUUUGCGCACCCCUUGUUUCCUCGGCAGCUUCGCCUGCCAACGAGGACCCCCUUAAACCCUUUUGCAAUCAGCAUAACGUUCUGAAAACAAACAAUAUUAAAACUUUCAACAAUGGAUCUCUUGGCUCUGGCAUCGAUGAAGAACGCAGCGAAAUGCGAUAAGUAGUGUGAAUUGCAGAAUUCAGUGAAUCAUCGAAUCUUUGAACGCACAUUGCGCCCUUUGGUAUUCCUUAGGGCAUGCCUGUUCGAGCGUCAUUUACAAAUUCAAGCUCAGCUUGGUGAUGGGUGUCUGUCCCGCCUCUGCGCGUGGACUCGCCUCAAAUGCAGUUGGCAGCUUAUCCCUCGGCUCUAAACGCAGCAGAUUUGCGUCGAGCGUCGUGUGGACGGGCUCUCCAGUAAGCAAACCCCCCAAAAUUGACCUCGGAUCAGGUAGGGAUACCCGCUGAACUUAAGCAUAUCAAUAAGCGGAGGA
RNAcentral lists this ribosomal RNA (602 nucleotides) under uncultured Pleosporales. RNAcentral describes it as "eukaryotic LSU rRNA". The stretch from base 232 to 385 matches the Rfam family "5.8S ribosomal RNA". The record is from RNAcentral. Lineage: Eukaryota; Fungi; Ascomycota; Dothideomycetes; Pleosporales.